Molecule: transfer RNA, 77 nt
Filed under: marine bacterium B5-7
Lineage: Bacteria; Pseudomonadati; Pseudomonadota; Gammaproteobacteria
Description: tRNA-Arg
Rfam family: tRNA
About the family: Transfer RNA (tRNA) molecules are approximately 80 nucleotides in length. Their secondary structure includes four short double-helical elements and three loops (D, anti-codon, and T loops).
Source: RNAcentral
GCCCCGGUAGCUCAGCUGGAUAGAGCGAUCCCCUCCUAAGGGAUAGGUCAGAGGUUCGACUCCUCUCCGGGGCGCCA